GAUGAACGCUGGCGGCGUGCCUAAUACAUGCAAGUCGAGCGAACAGACGAGGAGCUUGCUCCUCUGAUGUUAGCGGCGGACGGGUGAGUAACACGUGGAUAACCUACCUAUAAGACUGGGAUAACUUCGGGAAACCGGAGCUAAUACCGGAUAAUAUAUUGAACCGCAUGGUUCAAUAGUGAAAGACGGUUUUGCUGUCACUUAUAGAUGGAUCCGCGCCGCAUUAGCUAGUUGGUAAGGUAAUGGCUUACCAAGGCGACGAUGCGUAGCCGACCUGAGAGGGUGAUCGGCCACACUGGAACUGAGACACGGUCCAGACUCCUACGGGAGGCAGCAGUAGGGAAUCUUCCGCAAUGGGCGAAAGCCUGACGGAGCAACGCCGCGUGAGUGAUGAAGGUCUUCGGAUCGUAAAACUCUGUUAUUAGGGAAGAACAAAUGUGUAAGUAACUAUGCACGUCUUGACGGUACCUAAUCAGAAAGCCACGGCUAACUACGUG
RNAcentral lists this ribosomal RNA (497 nucleotides) under uncultured bacterium. RNAcentral describes it as "partial 16S ribosomal RNA". It matches the Rfam family "Bacterial small subunit ribosomal RNA", at positions 28 to 507 of the family's 1533-position model. The record is from RNAcentral.